Molecule: ribosomal RNA, 442 nt
Filed under: uncultured bacterium
Lineage: Bacteria
Description: partial 16S ribosomal RNA
Rfam family: Bacterial small subunit ribosomal RNA
Source: RNAcentral
CCUACGGGAGGCAGCAGUGGGGAAUAUUGGGCAAUGGGCGCAAGCCUGACCCAGCAACGCCGCGUGAAGGAAGAAGGCUUUCGGGUUGUAAACUUCUUUUAAGAGGGAAGAGCAGAAGACGGUACCUCUUGAAUAAGCCACGGCUAACUACGUGCCAGCAGCCGCGGUAAUACGUAGGUGGCAAGCGGUGUCCGGCUUUACUGGGUGUAAAGGGCGUGUAUCCGGGCUGACAAGGCAGAUGUGAAAUCCCGUGGCUCAACCACGGAACUGCAUUUGAAACUGUCGGUCUUGAGUAUCGGAGAGGCAGGCGGAAUGCCGAGUGUAGCGGUGAAAUGCGUAGAUAUUAGGAGGAACACCAGUGGCGAAGGCGGCCUGCUGGACGACAACUGACGGUGAGGCGCGAAAGCGUGGGGAGCAAACAGGAUUAGAUACCCGAGUAGUC